GAGAGGCUAGCGUGUUGUAGAGUAGCUUUUCGAGCUAGUUCGAGGUAAGUAAUGAUUGUAAAUACUGUCCUGAGGGUUUGAAACCUCGGAUUACACAGCCUGUGUUACUUUGAGGGGACUUACAUGCUAGAUGACGAGCGUGGGGUAGAGCACCACUGGGGAUUGCGACCUAGUCCAUCCCGAACGAUUAUUUUAAUGC
RNAcentral lists this long non-coding RNA (199 nucleotides) under Nicotiana benthamiana. RNAcentral's name for it is "long non-coding RNA (NBEN_LNC034813)". The record is from RNAcentral. Lineage: Eukaryota; Viridiplantae; Streptophyta; Magnoliopsida; Solanales; Solanaceae.